Molecule: long non-coding RNA, 1110 nt
Organism: Topomyia yanbarensis
Lineage: Eukaryota; Metazoa; Arthropoda; Insecta; Diptera; Culicidae
Exons: 4
Source: RefSeq, a predicted model, not a curated record
UAAAUUUCAAAUAGUUACAAACAAAAAGUUAAUGUUCAAUCUUUUUUGUACCACUGUUGUUCCAAAUCUUAGGAAAAAAAAGUUUAUUCAGUUGGUAUAAGGACAGACAUGCAAUUUGAAGACAACAUAUAUGUGUAAUUAAAAUGACGACGAAAAUAAGUUGUUUUGAAAACGAUUUGUGACCAACGUGUAUUUGUUCCUGCUGUCCAACAAUUCGAUCGUUCAAAGGCAACAAACGGAGGAUAGCGAAUCGCUACCGGAACCAACGCAAAUUCUGCUGAUCGAUCGUGUCAAUUGUGCUUUACAACGAAUCGUUAUACUCCGGGCUGAUCGUGGUCCGGCACAAGAUGCUAUACCGGAUCUACGCUUGCACGGGAAAUUGUAACAUACCGAAACCGAAUGAGGGGGAAGAUGCAUCAAACGGUGCGGUAUCGUCCCCACUGGGCUACCGACCAACGUGUAAUUGUUCCUGCUGUCUAAAAAGUCGACCGGACUCGCUCGAUCAAGUACCAAACGGGAUACUGAGUCGCUACCGGAAGCGACACCAAUUCCGCUGAAAUCUAUCGUUUGUGUGUUACCACGAACCGCUAUACUCCGCGCUGAUCGUGCUCCGGAACGAAAUGCUACACCGGUUCUACGCUUGCAUGGGAAUUUUAAUCGUACCGAAACGGUAAGAGUCAAUGUCCAUCUGCUUCCAGUGUGCGGCAAUGAGAUUUCAGCUCGCCGGAUACACCACGGCCGCAGCUGCUUGUAGCAGGUGAAUUUGCUCAACACCAUAUUACGUUUAAAAGCGACCCAGACCGCCCGAAAUGUCACCUGAUUUGCUCUCUGAACGCGUUGCUCAUCCAGAGUUGCUUAUUUUGGCUAUUCGCAACUAACCUACACUGGAUACAGGUCGUUCCUGCAUCUGCCACCCGUGGACGCGCUCGAUGGCUCUCAGCUGAGUUUGUGUAUGUAUGUGCCAUUAGGAGCCUUGAGGACAACCAUAACAACUGGGUGACUAAACAGAACAGCGGGACAUUAUGAUUUAGAGCAACACACCACCGUUCUAUGAAUCGUUGGGGUUUGCACCAUGCGAUGUAGAAUAAUAUAGUCAAUGAGACAAAAUAA